GGCGGCGUGCUUAACACAUGCAAGUCGAGCGGUAAGGCCCUUCGGGGUACACGAGCGGCGAACGGGUGAGUAACACGUGGGUAACCUGCCCUGUACUCUGGGAUAAGCCUGGGAANCUAGGUCUAAUACCGGAUACGAGCCUUCCUCGCAUGGGGUUGGUUGGAAAGUUCCGGCGGUACAGGAUGGACCCGCGGCCUAUCAGCUUGUUGGUGGGGUAAUGGCCUACCAAGGCGACGACGGGUAGCCGGCCUGAGAGGGUGACCGGCCACACUGGGACUGAGACACGGCCCNANCNCAUACGC
Molecule: ribosomal RNA, 302 nt
Filed under: uncultured bacterium US21
Lineage: Bacteria
Description: bacterial SSU rRNA
Rfam family: Bacterial small subunit ribosomal RNA
Source: RNAcentral